Molecule: long non-coding RNA, 1207 nt
Organism: Sycon ciliatum
Lineage: Eukaryota; Metazoa; Porifera; Calcarea; Leucosolenida; Sycettidae
Exons: 2
Source: RefSeq, a predicted model, not a curated record
GGCUUCAUUUUCGACGCCGAGUUUUCGAUGGCAAGACGAAGGUAGGUGAAAGAGAAGACCCCUCGAACAAGAACGAGUCUCCAGAAGCGAUCGAGUCGAGCGGGAAGACGACUUUUGAAUUUCGCCGAGCGAGCGCUGAUGACGUAAUGAGGGAUUAGCUUGCCGGUGGAAAUGCACCUACGCACAUACAUUUCACAUACUUUUUGGCCAAUUUUCAAUCGAAGAGGAGGUUGUUUUCUAUGUUCUCCCAACGUUGUGAGCGAUCCCGUCUUCUAUACCCUUCCAGGUAUCCUGAGGGUCCUCCAGAGGAGAAUUUAUCUCCAGCAAAGCGUUGUUGAUCCGCUAAAUUCGUCUCGAGACAUAUUCACCCAGUACAGAUAAAUGUAGAAUGUUGAAUCUGUGAUAAUUGUUGACGAUGGAGAGAGAGGCUAAUAGCCGCUGUCGCAGGGAGAGUGAAGCUGCUGGAAGUAACAACGGGGAGCCCGUUAGCAUCACAUGAGCACCCAGACUUCAAAGCAGCUUGACCAAAUCGGAGGGUGCUGACUAUUUCCCUCGUUGUGUAUCGUGAAUAUUACACCAACAUGAAUUACUACACGUACGUAUGCUGGUCUGUCCAAUAUGCAUUGACCGCAGUGGGUAUGGUUUCUGCUCUGAGAAGGGAAUCGCUGGAGCCACAGUCCAGCUAAACAGGCUUGCAAGAAAGAGAGAGGAGCCAUCUUGUCAAGGCUGAUACCUGAUGUGUACCGGCAGAAUUCUCACGAGAUACCUCACAGACUACGUCUGGCGUAUACUUCAUAGUACUCGUUCGACUACUGUCUAGAAUCAAGUCGACGGAAACAACUCUGACUUCAAACGAGCCGUCGAUUAGACAAACAAAGCCUUCUCUUAUAUAAUUGAUCACUUUGACAACUCAUGACCUAUUCCUAACGAUUGCCACCGCUUAUAAAGGUGUGGAGUGCUGUUUGGAAUGUGCUCACAAUCUCAAUAAUUCAGUGCUCUAAUUAUUUGUUCAAUGUGUUGGAAAUUAUUCCAUUUUUCCUUCCAUAAAUGUUGUAUCCACGGAUAAUCCACAGUGUUGCAAAGUUUCAGAGUUCUCAGGGUAUCAAGCAAAUUAUUCCAAAUACAGUGAAAUUGCUAGUGGACAUUAUAGCGUUACUUGUAGUUCCCUGGUCCUUUUCUUUGCUGUAAAUUAAUCAUUGGCCCUCUA